UAUUUUUGAAAACCGUUCGGUUUUUAUUCUUCGUUUUCAAUCUUUUUGGUUUUAGCAAUUGUUUAGUUCGGUUUUUCGGAUUUUGGAACAAAAUUACGUAAGACGUAAAAAUAAAAAGUAUAAUUCAAAAUAUAAGAAUCUUUCUUAGAUGUUUACAUUAGAAAUGAAAUGAAAUUUUGAUUAUUAAAUACUUAUCAUAAAUAGUCGUUAUGAAGUCUCUUACAAUCUCGUUUUCGUCUCGCUUUGAUGUUUCCGUCAUCGGUUGGGGUGUGACAGAUUGAUAUCAGAUCCAUAACCAUAGGGAAUUAGGAAAAAUUAAUUACCAUAAUUUGACAUAGUCUAUGGUUAAGAAUGCCGAACUUUGACUGUUCUUGAUUAUUCAUGUUAAUUAUAUAAAAUGCUUCUAUAUGCUUCUUUAUCCUUCUUUUGCCAAAAAAAAAUUAUACAUUUGACUUUUCCUAAAGACACUUAUUGCACAAACAUGAAGGCACGAAAACACUCGUGUUAUACAAAUGAGACGAUUUCACCAAAAUAGACGUGAAACCCUCACUUCGGUGAAGAAUUCUCAAUCUGCGUUCUCGAUUUUCACGAAAUUAUACAUUAAGUUAGGAGUGACAUCCUCACCUUGAUGAAAAUUUCACUAUACUUAUUCUAGUAGACCCUUACCAACGAGUCGGAUUUAGUCCUUAUCUCGUUUGGUAAGUACCAACAACGUUUAGGGGGCGACAUUAUCAAGUUAGGGGUGAUACCCGCAUCUCGAUAUAUAGUCCCACUCCUCGAUUUUCAAUCCCGCCAAAGUAUUGAACUUUUAAUUAACUUAGGACAUGUAGUAACUUGGAUAUGUUGACUACGUCACUAUCUGUUACCCCCAUCCCUUUGUGCCAAUGGUCCUAAAUACUUGAACUUGGUCACAUGCGAAAUCACUUGACCCUCAAUGGUGAUUUGAGUGUCCUCAUCAUUGACUGUGCCACUAAAAUCAUAUUAUAGGUACUCGGUCUUAAAUCGAAUAAAUUAAACCUUUACCCUCUAGCUAUUCGCCACUCCCCUAACCUCACAUUCAGACUCUGUUUACUCUCUGCAACUAACACAAUAUCAAUCGCAAAAGCAAGCACAACAGGACCAUCCCUUGAAUUAACUUUGACAACUCAUAUAUGAUAACCACAAACAGGAAUGAGCUUAACGUAGACCCUUUGUGGAGCCCUACCUCCACAUGAAAAAAUCUAGAAUCCUAUGUAGGCACCUUAACACUAGUCUCAGUCUUAACAUACAUAUCCUUAAUUAUGUCUUUAUGCUUCCCAAAAACCCCUUUUAACUUCUAAACUAUCCUAAUGUAAUUACAUUUGCCCACAUUAUAAAAGUACUUUGAAUUGAACAACAUACCAUAAAGAUUGUUUUAUUGGUAGUAGUAGCAUAAACGAUAGCCAGUUGUUGAAUUAUUAGCUCGGUCAAACGCAUAUUAGAAAAGGUAGGUCAUGCUUAUUGGUAAAAUAUAUAGAAUAGGCUUAUGGAUACUCCUUCAUGCAUUUGCUGGUAGCGAGAUUUCCUUCGUUUUGUUUCUUGUAGCAUAUGAAUGGGUGGAGAUACAAUAGGAAGUUUAUUUGGCUAAGAAGGCUAGGAAGUGAUCUUGACCAUCCAUUAAGUUAAUCAAGAGCUAAGAUUAAAUCAGGGAAAUUGAAAGGAAGAAAAGAGGCGCGUGAGUUUGUUCAAGGGCAUUCUAGUCAAUCCAAGCCAAUAGUUUCUCUCUCCUCCAAUUCCCCCCCAUUUUUUAAACGUUAAUAACUCUUUCAUACGACAUUAUUUUUUUUUAUAAAAAUUGCACCAAAAAAACGAGCGUUUUUUUAUCUUUAAAACGAGAAUACUAUUGCUAUAUUU
Molecule: long non-coding RNA, 1872 nt
Filed under: Helianthus annuus (common sunflower)
Lineage: Eukaryota; Viridiplantae; Streptophyta; Magnoliopsida; Asterales; Asteraceae
Description: hypothetical non coding rna
Source: RNAcentral